CGGCUUAGCUCAGCUGGCUAGAGCGCCUGGUUCAUACCCAGUAGGUCGUAGGUUCAAAUCCCACAGCCG
This 69-nucleotide transfer RNA is filed under the name human gut metagenome. It matches the Rfam family "tRNA". From Rfam's summary of the family: Transfer RNA (tRNA) molecules are approximately 80 nucleotides in length. Their secondary structure includes four short double-helical elements and three loops (D, anti-codon, and T loops). Further hydrogen bonds mediate the characteristic L-shaped molecular structure. tRNAs have two regions of fundamental functional importance: the anti-codon, which is responsible for specific mRNA codon recognition, and the 3' end, to which the tRNAs corresponding amino acid is attached (by aminoacyl-tRNA synthetases). tRNAs cope with the degeneracy of the genetic code in two manners: having more than one tRNA (with a specific anti-codon) for a particular amino acid; and 'wobble' base-pairing, i.e. permitting non-standard base-pairing at the 3rd anti-codon position. The record is from RNAcentral.